RNAcentral lists this long non-coding RNA (2936 nucleotides) under Sus scrofa (pig). RNAcentral describes it as "lncRNA (ENSSSCG00005040786.1)". Lineage: Eukaryota; Metazoa; Chordata; Mammalia; Artiodactyla; Suidae. The record is from RNAcentral.
UUCUGGCUUUUUAUCAGUAUGCAAAGUCAUUUAAUUCAGACGACUUUGAUUACGAAGAGCUGAAGAGUGGGGACUAUGUCUUCAUGAGGUGGAAGGAGCAGUUCCUGGUCCCAGACCACACGAUCAAAGACAUCAGCGGUGCUUCCUUCGCUGGCUUCUACUACAUCUGCUUCCAGAAGUCGGCGGCCUCCAUAGAGGGCUACUAUUACCACCGGAGCUCGGAAUGGUACCAGUCGCUCAACCUCACGCACGUCCCCGAACACAGCGCGCCCAUCUACGAGUUCCGGUGACAGCGGCGGGACAGCAGCCGAGUAAACUGACCUUUGGCAGAAAAGCACUUCGCCACCAAGAUUGUGUACCUGCCAGAGCCAGGAGGUGUGUCCUGUCUCCCCGCGAGCAGACUGGCGUCAGAAAGCGUGACUGUGCACCCACAGACCCGGGCAGCGGGCGGCCGGGCAGGCGGACGCGGCCUCGGCCCGUCCCUGGCCGGGCAGUGUGGUCUUAGGCUGUGUUUAAGCGACCUUCCGAGCACUUUCCUCCCCGCGUAGCUGCUUCUCUGUCACCGAGACGGCCCUCCCUCCUCCCCCAGCCUUGGUGCUCAGCGGCCCCCACCCAGGCCCCUGCCCCCCGUUCCUUAGUCUGGUAGCUCAAGAGAAGGCAGGGCCCCAGCGCAUGUGCCCCCCCAAGAGCUGCGCAGGGCGUAGGGGGUCGCCAGUGGAGUCGGGGCGCUGCCCAGCCCUGUGAUGUUGGCGCCAAGGCGGGCGGUGGCCGGCGGGUUCCUCGGGCCUGCGUGGGGUCCCCGGGUUUAAGGCUUCCCGACCCCUGGCAGGAACAGCUUCCAGUCCUGCUUACUCAGCACGUUUGCUCCAAACUUUUGAACUUGAGGGCAAUACUAACCUUUAAAAAAAGAAGAAAAGAGGUUUUUUUAUUACAAAAUUAUUUUUAUGGUCCCUUUAACAAGGACCCUGUGACAAAUGCACAAUUAUUCAGAAUUACAUUUUAGCGUUUUCACAUUGAAAACAGCAAAUGUUGACCUAGUAAUUUUUAUACUUAUAUCUAUAUGUAAGUGUAUAUUUAAUCAACCAGCAGUUCGCAACUGGUCGUCCUGGUACAGAAGUUUUGCAGCGCGGUGUAAAUCAAAGCGCUAAACACGGGCACCGUUCUGGGGCCAGUUUAGCGCUUGUACCUCCUCCUCUGCUGCAAACAGCGGGGCUUCGUGCGACCUUCUCCAUCCGGCAGGAGGGGCGGGCGCCCCUAAACCAUCAGCUCGGCAGGGGCGGGGCGGGAGCACGCGCAUGCGCACCCCCGGAGAACGCGAGGCUCUCGUGCCAAAGUGUGUGUGUGCGCGUGUGUGCAAGGUGGUUUUGUUUUAUUUAAAUGUGUAGAAAGCUUAAGGUGGCAUCAGCCACCUCUGCAGGUGCGGGUAGGGCCCAGGGGAUUGGCAUUGUGUGGGGUUUACAAGACUCGCUCGGAACACGAGAGGGGAAGCUUGUAACAGCGAGGCAGCGUCAUGACCCAGGGAGCAAGACAAGCGAGCGUUGUGUCCGUGGGUUGUGUCCGUGGUCGAGGGAGAAGGCACAGCCCUGCGCCUGGGUCGGGGGGGGAGGGGAUCGGAUUCUCAAAAGUGACUUCCUGGAUCGACGACCGUACUGUAGGGUCCUGAGCGUGCGUGUCAGGCGAAGCCUUAAAGGAGAGGUAUCGGGGAUGGCGUGGGUGGGCGUCGGGACCCCUGGGCUGUGUGGUCCUGAGGCCCCCUGCAGAGCUGCAGCCAGCCCACCAGAAAGGCCAGGGCCUAGGGACCGGGAACGUAGCCUGGUGGCUUCCGUGGAAGGAUGUGCAUCUGGUGCAUCUCCAGAGGCGAGUCACAUGUUUUCCUGAUUUAAAGCCCUGAAGGGCAGCAGAGUGGCCGGCUCUGGUCAGAGACCUCCUGCCACCUCAGUUCAGGGACGGCCACCUGCGUUGUACCCGGUCCUUGAAGGACUCAGGUGGGGGUGAGGUCACCCUGGAGCUUGCUGGGCCCUCUAGUGGGCAGUCGGCGGGCAGGGUGUCUGCACGCAUGGCUGCCACGCUGCCGCCCAGUGGGCCAGGCUGCGCGUGGGGACUGAGCUAGGGACGCUGGCCCUUGGGGGACACGUCUCUGAUGAGGACUGGUUUUCGUGCCACCCUGUCUGUUGAGGAUGCCGAAGAGAUGGCAUCGUGUCCCCAUAGCAGCUCACAGAGCAGCCCCUGCCUGCCCUGCCCUCCCCCGGUGCCGGUUCCAGAGAGUCUGGCGGCUGUCCCCAUCUGCUGCUUCUGUCCUGGACCCGUUCCCCGUUAGAAACGGGUGCAAACGGCGGGUUUCCGGCCGCCCUCCCCCACCCCGUCCUGAGGGCCCAGCUCCCCCUCUGCUCAGAAGGCUUCCACCCGCAGCCCCAGCCUCGCCACCCGCCUGCGCGGGCAUCCCCCCCCGCCGCCCCUUCUCACCUGACAGCGUCUCAGCUGCGGUCCCAAAGCAACCAAGCAACGCCUUGUGCGAGGCAGACGGCCCCUUGGCUGCUGGAUCCGUCCGUGGUGUGAGGCAUCACAGACUCCAGGGAGCAGAGGGGCUCUUCAAUGUCUUUUGCUUUCAGAAACAGGGAAUUUAUAUUCUAAGGCCUUGAAUUGAUUUUUUUUUCCUCAUAAAGUAGUCAGAUAAGCUAAUUUUUAAGAAGAAAUGCCAUUGAGGAUGUGCAUUGUGGUUUAAAAUUACUAACAAGUUCUGCGAAAGAAAAAUAACAUUUGAUUUUGAAUCUUCUGUGUUUUUAAAAAUUAGAUUGGAGUGGACGAAAAGGAUGGGUUUUUGUUUCUUCAGGGAGGACGUGUGAAAAGGGUUUUGAGGGUUUGGGCUGGGAGAAAUAUUUUGCAGAGCUAUCAAUGUCCAAAUAAUUUUUAAAAAAUAAUAAAGGUAUUUAAGCAGU